AUAUACAGCCACAGCACCCUGAGAACACCCAAUCUCAUCUGAUGUCAGAAACUAAGCAGAGUCAGGCCCGGUCAGUACUUGGAUGGGAGCCCAUUCGGGCAUAGCGGGUGCUGUGGGCU
This 119-nucleotide ribosomal RNA is filed under the name Patagioenas fasciata monilis. The record is from RNAcentral. Lineage: Eukaryota; Metazoa; Chordata; Aves; Columbiformes; Columbidae.